CUCGGGGAGCGAAGAGAGCGCCGCGAGAAAGAAAUGUUCGACGCGGGGCCCCUUCCUCUACUUGGCUCCUCUAUCCAAAAUGAGGCGUCUACGGGACUGGUGCUUUUUGCACCUGCGGGCAGCUGUCCUGCUAGUGCUGCAAGAGCGGGGCUCCUCUGGCUCUUCCUCACACUCCCUGACCUUUUUCUCCGCACUGAUGUCGAAGCCCAUCCCUGGCACGCACCCAUUCACUGCUCUAGUGUAUUUGGAUGACCAGCUUAUUGGUCACUAUGACAGCAACAGAAGAAAGUGUCUGCCUGAACCGUCAUGGGCAGAGAAAGUGGAGGAGGAGGAGGAUGCCCCCUUCUGGGACUGGUGCACGAAGGUUUCCCUGACGUCUGCGAGCAGUUUCAGAGUGGACUUUUUGAACCUACAGAAAUACUACAACCAGAGCAGGAGGCUCCACAUCUGGCAGCGCAUGCACGGCUGUGCGCUGAGCGGGGAUGGACUCCGAGAAGCCCACUACCAGUAUGCCUAUGAUGGGAGGGACUUCCUCAGCUUGGACAUGGAGACCCUCACCUGGACAGCAGCAGAUGUCAUGGCCCAGUUGGUCAAGAGGAGGUGGGAGGCUCAUCCUCUCCUCACUCAGAACAAGAGAUACUUCACGGAGGAGAAAUGCGAGUGGCUGAAGAAGUUCUUCCAGUAUGGAAAGGAAGCUCUGUUGAGGAGAGAGCCCCCAGUAGUGAAGGUGAGACGCAAGGCAGGCUAUGAUGGCUGGGAGACCCUGAUCUGCCGGCUCUAUGGCUUCUACCCCAAGGAGAUAGAUGCCACCUGGAGGAAGGACGGGGAGGUCUGGGAGCAGGAGACAUUCCGCGGGGGCAUCACUCCCAACUCAGGUGGGACCUACCACACCUGGCUCAGCAUUGAGAUCGACCCCAAGGACAGGGACCAGUAUCGGUGCUACGUGGAACAUGAUGCCCUAGAGAAACCUGUUGACUUGGCCUGGGAGGAGCCUGCCUCUGUGUUUAAGGGGUUCAUUGUGGGAGCCACAGUGUUUGUGACAGCUGUUCUGCUGGUGGCUGGGAUCAUGUUAAUAAUCGUGAAUCUUCAAAAGCAAGAACCCUACAAAGCAGCAUCAAGGAAUAAUGGGGAUUUGAGGAUGCUCCAAGUGCCCCCUUGGGGGUGCCUGGGCACCAAAGUGGGUUUGGGUGCAAGGCAGGUAUGGCCACAACUCCCCCCAGGAGCCCCAAGCUGGUGGAGUUCCUGGUUUUUAAUUAUUUUUUAAAAAAAAGAUUUAGCCUGUUUCAAUGUAAUGAAUAGGAAUCCCUCCCCCAUUCAGAAAAAGAACAGUCUGUGACCUGUUCUCUUUAAUUGCUAUGAAUUGUGAACUCAGAGUUCACAGCAAUUAAGGUCACACACUGUUCUCUUUCUGAAUUGUGAAUCACCUGCAGUUGGAUUGGCAAGUUUGUAGGGCAGGGCCUGAUCUGUAGCUGCAUCCAGGGUCUGGAAUUCCCCUCUUCUGAAUCGCAGACCCAUGCCAUGAAUAAGUGAAGCUUUCGUACAUGCUUGCCCAGGCGUGAGGGAGAGAGUGGAAUCCUGCCUCAGAGAUGUUAGCUAGAUGCCAGCUAAAUGGAAAAUUGCCUUAAGUUCCCAUCAUCAUCAACGGACUCUAUACUAGGGCUGUACAUGAUCAUGUCCCAUGUCCGGUGUUAUCUGAAUGUGUUCUGCAAUGACAGAAGAUGACUAGACCAAUGGCUACCGUAAGUGCUGUAUACAGGAGACCCUGGAUAGACCAGCCUUCCUCGUUCUAGUGGGUCUCCAGGUGCCUAUCAAACAAUGGGUAGAUCUGGCCGUCACCCAGUGCUCCAGACUCCCACUCAAACGGUGCCAUGGUGGCACUGGCCCAGUUGAGCCAAUUGAUAGAUCUGGCCUCCAUACUUUUAAAUUUAUGUCUGUUUUUUAAAAUGGUGGAAGGAGCGUCCUUAUGAUCUUUCCAGUUGGAAAUAUGGCAGGCCUCCUAGACUUCACUUUCUCUAGAAAGCAAAGAUUUCUGAUCAUUCUUCUAAUAAUGAAACAGGAUGCUGUUUGCCUGUAUUGCAUGCAUGAUUUGCUGUGGUUAAUGUUUAUGAACAGAUCUUAAUUGUUGGAGAAGGAGUGGAGGGGAAAAUAGAGAGGAAGGGACGAGAACUGGAAAGGUGGGAGCCCUCACACUCUAGUGCAGUGUUGGGUACCAGUCCGUGAGGCAUCACUAAUAAAAAUCACUCCCCCCCCCAAAAAAAACCCACCAGUUUUGGGCUGGCAGGGGCCACUGGGAGCUCUCCGGAGCUCAUUUCCAGGCAGCCCUUGCUGCUGGAUAACGUUCAUUUCACUUCCUCGAAAUGAACAUUAUCUAGCAGCGAGGGCUGCCUGGAAAUGAGCUCCAGAAAGCUGCCUGAAGCCUUUUGGGGGGGGUUGGAGGUGAAGGGGGCAACCCCCUUACUAACUGCUGGUCCAGAAAACGGCACAUGAAUAAUGUACCGGUCCAUGACUCCAAAAACACUGAGAAAUACUGCUCUAGUGCAUACACAGCAACAUAGAUUCCUUCUCUUUUUCUCUACUUUGCAGCAAGCGACCUAGGAUCUGACAAUUCCUGCGGAGGGAGCAGCCAGCAGUCUUGGAGCAACCAGGAGAGAAUCCCCUGAGAAAGGAAGCCAAGAGAAUCGAUGACUUGCUGUGAACUGUAGCUCCUGGGAGCCGGUGCCAGCCCUGGACACCCCACCUAAUCCUGCCUCUGGCCUAGCUCCAGUUUGGGCUUAUCUUUCAAACGAGAUGCAACAGUAUUGAGACUGAUCAGCAGUGUGCCAUUAUUUUAAAUGGAAUGAUUCUGGAAUGAAUGGUUUUUACCAUUUUUCUUUUUUGUUUCACAUUUUAUUGUAAUAUUUUUAAAAUAAUCACAUUCAACAUCCACUUCAACAAAGAAUAGAUCAUCAGGAAUGAUUCAUAGGAGUUCUUGAGAGAACAUCCAUCUAGGGACAAAUGUACAGUAUCCUCAUUGGGGCUUGCCCUUGGGGUUGCGGUGGGACAUGCUGAAUAUUUUUUAACAUAAUGACCCAGAAUGGGUCAUUCAGAAUUUAAAGGGCCCCAUGCCCUCAUCCCCCCCACAUAUGGGGGCACUUCCAGCUGCUCAGAGGGGCUAGCAGAGGGCUUUGCAGAGUCUCCACACUAUGGCUUGCCCCGGAGCAUGGCUGCCACUGCAGUCGCUGUGCUCUGACCCAGCCAGGCCCCUCUGGCGCACUGUGUUUGGCUAUGCACAAUUGUAUUUCUGGCUGUGCUGUGCUGUUCUGUGCUGUGCUCUGGGCUGGAUCAAUACAGCUGCUGCAGGGAACGCCAUGCUCUGGGGCUAGCUGCAGUGGGGAGACUCCAGGCAGCGAUCUCUGCACUGCCUGCUGCUGAGCCUUCUGAGCAGCUGGGAGUGCCCCAGGUGCGCGGGGUGGGGUGCGUGAUGGCUCGAAGGGGCCUUAGGGCAUUGGCCCCAAUUCCCACCCCCACCUCCAAAGGAUGGGCCUGAUCCUUACCCCUGGAAUGUUUGUAAUAUGUCAAUUUAAUAGAAAUAUCAUGUUCCCAAUGUAGAUGUUUUACCAGUCCAGCCUUGGUGGUGGUGUGGUAUGCUGUGUCUUCCACCUUUCUGCAAUAUAAAUUCUUGCUGCUGUUAAGAGAUGUGAUCUACAUCUGAUUUCGAUACAUCCUCUCUUAUGCAACUAAAAAGAAUGAAUUUUGGCUCCUUCAUUAAAUUAAGGCCUGUCAUUUCAUUAAAUAUUGAUAUUGCCGCUUUCCAAAAAUUAAUUAGCGGACAUGACCAAAAUCUAUGUAAAACAUUUUCCUUAGGAAUGCAACACCUCCAUCACGUGAUGAAUUUGUUUUAGAUGUAAAGGAGUCAUACGCCAUCAAUAUUCUAAUUUAUCCAGGCUGUUUCUAACUUAAUAUUGAUAAUUCUCAUAAUAAUAUUCAACCAUAACCACAUCUGUUGUUCUUCUGUGAUUGGGUCCUGGAGUUCCCUAUCCCACUAAAAAAUAUAAAUAGGUGAGAGAGGGAUCAUUCUGCUCAUUCACCAGGGGAGAGCUGGUCUUGUGGUAGCAAGCAUGACUUGUCCCCCUAGCUAAGCAGGGUACACCCUGGUUGGAUUUGAAUGAGAGACCACAUGUGAGCACUGUAAGAUAUUCCUCUCGGGAUGGAGCCACUCUGGGAAGAGCAGAAGGUUUCAAGUUCCCUCCCUGGAUUCUCCAAGAUUCCUGCCUGCAACCUUGGAGAAGUCGCUGCCAGUCUGUGUAGACAGUACUCAGCUAGAUAGUCCAAUGGUCGGUCUCAGUAUACGGCAGCUUCCUAUGCUCCACAAAUGAUAUUAACGUGCCAUCAAUCUUUUAUUUUUAACAUUUGACAACAUGAUUUCUGCCUUUGUGUUUUCUCUGAACAUCUCAUUUUUAAAUUCCAUUAAUAAAUAACCUUUCAAAUUAA
RNA transcript from Hemicordylus capensis (graceful crag lizard), 4470 nucleotides. It is a transcript of the gene named major histocompatibility complex class I-related gene protein-like, with no coding region annotated. The transcript has 9 exons. The record is from RefSeq and is a predicted model, not a curated record. Lineage: Eukaryota; Metazoa; Chordata; Lepidosauria; Squamata; Cordylidae.